UCGUUAGCUCAGUCGGUAGAGCAGUUGACUCUUAAUCAAUUGGUCGUAGGUUCGAUCCCUACACGA
Molecule: transfer RNA, 66 nt
Filed under: Aeromonas hydrophila
Lineage: Bacteria; Pseudomonadati; Pseudomonadota; Gammaproteobacteria; Aeromonadales; Aeromonadaceae
Also listed under: 2 other names
Rfam family: tRNA
About the family: Transfer RNA (tRNA) molecules are approximately 80 nucleotides in length. Their secondary structure includes four short double-helical elements and three loops (D, anti-codon, and T loops).
Source: RNAcentral